Ricinus communis (castor bean) is the source of this 104-nucleotide small nucleolar RNA. NCBI's taxonomy places the organism in Eukaryota, Viridiplantae, Streptophyta, Magnoliopsida, Malpighiales, Euphorbiaceae. The record is from RefSeq and is a predicted model, not a curated record.
AAACCACGAUGAGGACACCUUUGCAGCUUCUUGAGCCUUUCCCAAGCUUCAUAAAAUGAUUCAUCAUCUUUUUGGUAAAAGCUAUCAGUUUAGUGUCUAAUCUU